ACACGGGUGUGUGGGGGGCUGAAAGGGUGGGACAGGUGGGGACUAUAGAUGGUAAAGCUCUGGAGGUCAAGAUGGGACGAUGACAGAGAGGAGACAGGGGUGAAUGGGAAGGAUCUUCAAGGAGACAGGAUUUUAGGAUUUGGUAGCUGAUUGGAUAUGAGGGUAAAGGAGGAAGGAGUUGGGGGUCGGGGAGUUGGGGAUGUAAAGUCAACUCAAACAAGGUAGGGAAGAGAGGAGGUCACUCAGGAGAGAAGCCACAAGUUGUGUUUCGGGUUGUUAAGUUUGAGGUAGCGCUGGCAGGUAGAGAAGGUGACCAGUGAGUAAUGGAAAUGGAGACUAGAGCUUGGGAGAGAGCAGUGGCCACGGAAGUCACCUCCACAGAGGUGACCACUCAACAGGAGGAGAUUUGCCAAGGUUGAGGAGCCAGAGGACAACAGGUCAAAGGUCUUGAAGAGAACUCUGGGCAACACCUAGGGUAGAACAGAAGGUCUGGGAUAUGGAGGGGCAGAGAGAUGGGAGAACUAGAUGAAGCCAUGGGAACUGACAGCUGAGAGAGGAAAAGGAUUAAGGGGCAAAAAGAAACCCUAUCAGUUUCAGAUUUCAGAUGCUAAGGAGAAAUGAAAGUUGGUCACUUUUUUGACCUUUGAAAGAAAACAUUUCCAUGGUGGGUCAAAUUUAGAAAUCAAAUUGUGAAGAGUUGAGGAGGGAUUGGUGGGAAGCAGAGGGGUAUAGGUUAUCCCCUCCCCAGGGGAUCACAGGAAAUGGAAAGACCCAUUUAGAAGGGUCUCCUCUCCUGGUCACGGAUCCCACUCUACCUCUGAGCCCCAGCUUUUUUCAUCAUUUCUCUCAACAGCAAUCCUCAGAAAAUGAUGGACUCAGCACUAUGAUAAUUCUCAUUUUAAAUAUGAUGAAAACUUAGGUGAAACUAAGGCUAGAGAAAGCCAGUAAUGGGAUCCAGGACACAGAGCUGAAACCCAGCUCUGUGCAAUGUUUUGCUGCUUCGUUCUGAAGUCCCAGCUCCACAGAUUUUUUAAAAACUUAAUUGGGUACAAAGAGACGUUAUUUCUUGCACCUAAAUUCUGGAUGGGUAACAUGCCUUAUCCCCUAACUUUUAGAUUUGUUCUGUCUUUUCCCCUUUCCCCAGGAAUACUUUGGAACUGGGGUCCUCCUUGCCAGUUUGCAGCACUUGAGAGGUCAGUCCUGCUAUCCUGGAUUCCCUAUCACCUUGGGCUUGCAGCUGACUGGACCUCCACCCUCUUGUUACCCACUUCCCCCACUAGCUCUUUCUUCCUGAUUUGAAUUAGGCAAGAUGAAGCUUUGUCACAUGGCUAAGAACUUGUGCUGUGGAGUUAGAAGUGCCUAGAAAAGAAAUCUUAGGCCGGCCACUAAUUGGACAUUUGUUUGUUUUUAGCUUUUCUGAGCUUCAAUUUCUUUGCUAGCUCUAACUCAUCCACUUGUGUUGAGAACUGCAACGCUUGAUGAAUGUUAGCCAUUAUUUUCUGCCCUCUAUUUCCAAUGUCGUGGCCUUUGGACUGCAAUUUCUUUUUCAGCUGGAUCCGAUCUCCCGCACCUUCCCUCCCCAGAGGACAGAGCCCAGCCCUUCCUCGGCUGCCCAGGAAGCUGGCCUGGGUUAUUUCUUGAGGGAUGGAGAGUUUGGGUUCUGAAAGAAGAGAAAGGAGAAACUUUCAGCUGCGGGUAGAAGUGGCCAGUGAAGAUGGGCUUGGGAAAGAGCGGUGCCCACUGUGGAGGCCAUAUGGCCACCAAAGAGAAAAGGCCCAGAUUCCCUCUCAUGUCCCCCACUCCCUGCUCAUUCCCUGGCUCAGCCAGCCAUUCUGUAAAUGUCUGGGGAGAUUCUAGUCCUUGCCAGGCAACUGGGCUAGGCAUGGGGACAGAGCAGAAGAGAGUUAACCGUGGCCUUGAGAAGCCAAGACGGAGAGGCAGACAGAAACAAGCCUCCUUAGUUACAACUCAGAGUGGGAGAUGCAAGGGCCAAGGACAGGGUGCUGUGAGGUGGGGGGAAGUGAGCAAGGGGACAGUCACUCAGCAUCAGGACGCUGGGAUCACACUCGCUCCCAUGGCCCGCUCAUUCACCCCCACUGUUCCAUCUGUUUCUUUGUUUUGCAAUCUUUAUUUCUGGCUUUGUUUUCCAUUUACUUUUCUAAUAGAGAGGCUUUGGAAAAAUUCCACACUUGUUUCAGUUGGACGAGGCAAAAAGGGAAUUGUCCACUCUUCAGCCAGAAUAGCCUAGGGGUGCCGGGUUCCUGCAGGGUCCAGGUGGACAAGUGGAGGAAGCAAGAGCUGGCCACAGGGAGGCCAGGAAAGAGCCUGCAGCCCCCAGGGAGGCUGAAAACACAGGAGGAACUGAACUUAGCUGAGAAGUCUGGGGUGACCAUGUCCCCCAUCUUCCCAGAGCUCUCCUCACACCCCACUGCCUUCUGUUCUGAUUGGAGGGGAGAGUGGAGCCCCUCCUCCUCAGAGCAUCCCGGGAAGCUGGGUUCCAUUGCUCUUUCCCCACCUGGUGAGUUUGAAAGGCCUCAGAGUUGGAAGUGAGUCUUCAACAUUAUCCAAGGUGGAGGGCUAGGUGUGUGUGUGCAUAAAAUCUUCCCUAGUCUUUCUCCCUCAAAUCCACCACAUGACCCAACUCUCAUUGUGUCCUGGGUCUCUGACACUGUUCAUUGAUUCAUUAAUUCAACAAAACAUUUAUUGAACACUCACUAUGUGCUAGAAAUUGGAGCACAUUAGUGGGAAGAGAUAGUUAUUUCAAAAGGUCGUAUAGACACCAGGAGAGAGAGAGAGAGAGAGAGAGAGAGAGAACGCACAUGAGCAUAUGUGAACAUAUAAAUAACUGUGUGCAGGUUAGGGAAGCAGGAGGAAGAAUGUUCAGAAAACUUAAGUUUGGGAGUCAGUUUGCAUUUGCAUCUAGGUGCUUAACCAUUUGGGGGUCAGGGUACUGGGGAUUAAACCUAGGGGUGCUCUCCUAUUGAGCCACAUCCUGAGCCCCUUUGUAUUCUUUAUUUUGAGACAAGGUCUAGCUAAAUUGCCAAGACUCUUCUGGAACUUGCCAUCGUCCUGCCUCAGCCUCCUGAGUUACUGGAUUACAGACAUGUGCCACUGUGCCUGCCUGGGUGCUGCCAUUCACUCCCUGUAUGAACUUAAGCUCAACAAGGACUGUGGAUGAUUUAGAGAAAUGGAUCUGAAGAAACCAGUCAAGGCAGGGUUCGCAGCGAUGACUAGCGGCUCAGAGAACAUAACUGGAUUCUGAGAGCUGGCACUCGACUCCCGGGGUAAGGCCCACAGGUGCUCGGCGGGGAGAGGUUUCUCGGCGGGGGUGGGUGGAGAUUAGCGGAGGCGAGGCGGGGCCAAUUCUGCCCGCCGCGGAGAUUCCGAGUCCGCCCGAGUCAGGGGAUUAGGGAGGGCGGAUCUUGAGGCGGGGACCGAGCCAC
This is a non-coding RNA of Ictidomys tridecemlineatus (thirteen-lined ground squirrel), 3443 nucleotides long. The record is from RefSeq and is a predicted model, not a curated record. NCBI's taxonomy places the organism in Eukaryota, Metazoa, Chordata, Mammalia, Rodentia, Sciuridae.